Molecule: ribosomal RNA, 293 nt
Filed under: Salmonella enterica
Lineage: Bacteria; Pseudomonadati; Pseudomonadota; Gammaproteobacteria; Enterobacterales; Enterobacteriaceae
Also listed under: 1 other name
Description: partial 23S ribosomal RNA
Rfam family: Bacterial large subunit ribosomal RNA
Source: RNAcentral
GGCGCUGGAGAACUGAGGGGGGCUGCUCCUAGUACGAGAGGACCGGAGUGGACGCAUCACUGGUGUUCGGGUUGUCAUGCCAAUGGCACUGCCCGGUAGCUAAAUGCGGAAGAGAUAAGUGCUGAAAGCAUCUAAGCACGAAACUUGCCCCGAGAUGAGUUCUCCCUGAGACUUAGAGUCUCCUGAAGGAACGUUGAAGACGACGACGUUGAUAGGCCGGGUGUGUAAGCGCAGCGAUGCGUUGAGCUAACCGGUACUAAUGAACCGUGAGGCUUAACCUUACAACGCCGAAG